RNAcentral lists this unclassified non-coding RNA (386 nucleotides) under uncultured Elusimicrobia bacterium. RNAcentral describes it as "contains 16S-23S intergenic spacer region". The record is from RNAcentral. Lineage: Bacteria; Pseudomonadati; Elusimicrobiota; Elusimicrobia.
UCCCCGUUAUCCGAGGCAGUCUCCCAAGAGUGCUUCCCUUGCGGGAGUGGCAACAUAGGAUAAGGGUUGCGCUCGUUGCGGGACUUAACCCAACAUCUCACGACACGAGCUGACGACAGCCAUACAGCACCUCUGCUGGCAACCGACUUAACGGUUUGUCUUCUGUUUCCAGAAUACUACUACCAGCACUUCAAGCCCAGGUAAGGUUCUUCGCGUUGCGUCGAAUUAAACCACAUGCUCCACCGCUUGUGCGGGCCCCCGUCAAUUCCUUUGGGUUUCAACCUUGCGGCCGUACUCCCCAGGCGGCUCACUUAAUGCGUUAGCGUCGGCGCGGAAGGGGUCGAUACCUCCCACACCUAGUGAGCAUCGUUUAUGGCUAGGACUAC